GUUACUUUGGCAGAGUUAUGCAUUGGACUUAGGAUCUAAUCAUGCGAGUAUAAAUCUCGUAAGUAACA
This 68-nucleotide transfer RNA is filed under the name Sicyonia lancifer. RNAcentral's name for it is "tRNA-Leu". It matches the Rfam family "tRNA". From Rfam's summary of the family: Transfer RNA (tRNA) molecules are approximately 80 nucleotides in length. Lineage: Eukaryota; Metazoa; Arthropoda; Malacostraca; Decapoda; Sicyoniidae. The record is from RNAcentral.